RNAcentral lists this ribosomal RNA (1045 nucleotides) under uncultured organism. RNAcentral describes it as "bacterial SSU rRNA". It matches the Rfam family "Bacterial small subunit ribosomal RNA", at positions 78 to 1097 of the family's 1533-position model. The record is from RNAcentral.
UGCUAGAGAAAGUAAAGUGGCGCACGGGUGAGUAACGCGUGGGUAAUCUGCUCCGAAUCGGGGAAACAUUGCGAAAGCGAUGCUAAUACCGGAUAACAUCUGGUUGGCUUAGGUGAACCGGAUCAAAGGUGGUCUCUUUAUAAAAGCUACCGUUUGGAGAUGAGCUCGCGUACCAUUAGCUAGUUGGUGAGGUAAAGGCUCACCAAUGCGACGAUGGUUAGCUGGUCUGAGAGGAUGAUCAGCCACACCGGAACUGGAACACGGUCCGGACUCCUACGGGAGGCAGCAGUGAGGAAUUUUGCGCAAUGGGGGAAACCCUGACGCAGCAACGCCGCGUGAGUGAUGAAGGCUUUCGGGUCGUAAAGCUCUGUCAGGUGGGAAGAACCCACCAAGUGUUAAGACCACUUGGUGCUGACGGUACCACCGAAGGAAGCACCGGCUAACUCCGGGCCAGCAGCCCCGGUAAUACGGGGGGUUCGAGCGUUAUUCGGAAUCAUUGGGCCGUAAAGGGCGCACAGGCGGAUAUGUAAGUCAGAUGUGAAAUCCGAGGCUAUAACCCGGAAGUGCAUAUGAAACUAUGAGACUCGAGUAUGGGAGAGGGAAGCGGAAUUCCUGGUGUACCGGUGAAAUGCGUAGAUAUCAGGAGGAACACCGGUGGCGAAGGCGGCUUCCUGGACCAAUACUGACGCUGAGGCGCGAAGGCGUGGGGAGCGAACAGGAUUAGAUACCCUGGUAGUCCACGCAGUAAACGUUGAUCACUAGGUGUAGCGGGUAUUGACCCCUGCUGUGCCGGAGUUAACGCAUUAAGUGAUCCGCCUGGGGAGUACGAUCGCAAGAUUAAAACUCAAAGGAAUUGACAGGGGCCCGCACAAGCGGUGGAGCAUGUGGUUUAAUUCGACGCAACGCGAAGAACCUUACCUGGACUUGACAUCUCGGGAAUUCCGUUGAAAGACGGGAGUGCCUUUAACGAGGAAUCCGAUGACAGGUGCUGCAUGGCUGUCGUCAGCUCGUGUCGUGAGAUGUUGGGUUAAGUCCCGCAACGAGC